AUCUGUAAGAAUUAUAGUUCUUAAUUGUAAAUUUAUUUAUUAUAAUCACAUAAUUUUCAUAGUUUGAUUUUUUCGAUAGUAUUUACUAUUAAAAACAUUGUUUGACUCUUUCAAUUUAACAUAGCUUCACUAUUUCCGCCAAACGUAACGUCUUAUUUUGUUUCCCGUAAAAAGACGUCAUUAAAUUGUUUUACGGUGACGUCAUUAACCGUUACUUUGAUAUGUUGUUUUGCCUUGGGCGGAAGUGCUUAAAUUGUUGAUGUGUUUUGUUUAUUGAUGUUUUCCAAUGGAAAGUAGAUCAUAAUCGAGAAUCGCAUUGUUGUAUCACAUUGAUAUAUUAUUCCAUGAAUGAGAAUAAAGAAAAGUGUUGAAAUCUGCGCAUUCUUGACUAUUUUUAACGGAAAACAUCUACAAUUCUCGAUUUACAAUUCUCGAUUUGCUGUGACGAAAAUGCCGUCAACAAAUAGUGCGGAAACUUGUAAUCAGGAGUUUGUCAGUUUGAAGAGAUCAAGAAGUGCAAAUGGCGCUCAACUGACGAAACUAUACAAUGAACUUGAAAAGAGCAUGAUGUCCUACAAUAAUAUAGAAGAGGUAAAACUACUGAACAAUAAAUUAUGUGAACGCUUUGAACAUUUCAAAUCAGUGCAUUUACAAUGUUUAGAUUUGUGCGCGCAACCGGAAGUUGUUGCAGACUUGGAAGCGAACUUUGAGAGCUGUUUAAAGAACUUUGAAGAAUUCAGGGAAAGAUUUUCUCAGUGGAUCGCGGGAGCUAUUGGACCGCAUGAUGGAGAAAAUAUUCCUGUAGAAAAUGACGCAGAGUCAAAUGUCAGCCAUGGAAGUUCACGUACUUCAGUCUCGUCGCGCCGGAAAUUACAAAGUGCUAAAGCAAAGCGUUUAAUUGCAGAACACAAAUUAAAACAACUUAAAAAGAAACAAGAACUUGAACGAGCUCGCCAGGAUCUUGAAAUGAAACAACAGUUGUUAGAUCAGCAGUCGGAAUUAGAAGAAGCAGAGAUAGAAGAAAUGGCGUGGUUAGAAACAACACAGGAAGAAACCGGGGUCAUAUCUAACAAUCAAAAUGCUCAGCCUGACGUAAAAAAUAAUAUGACUAAUCAUAUUCAGGUGAACAACCGUACAGAUUCUGUGAGAAAUAUAACUUUGACACAGCCCAGACCGGAAAUGAACAGACCGUGUAUACCGGAAGUUGACAGUGAGACAUCGAGCAUUGACAGAUCAUUUCAAAGAUUGGCGUCAGCACUCCAUGAAGGAUUCAACUUACCGAAGCCAGAACUAUUGACAUUUGAUGGGAAGCCUGAAGGAUACUGCAAAUUUAUCAAAAACUUUGAAACAAACAUUGAAAGCAGAAUAAGUGACAAUAAUUUAAAGCUAAGUUAUCUCAUUCAGUAUUGUACAGGUAACUGUGCAGAGUUAUCACUGUGUAACAAGUUCAAGUCAAUGAGUCUCAAUGAUCGUUAUAAACUGGUAAGAUCACUUAAAUUGUGUUACAAUUGUUUAAAAGGUAAACAUUUUACAAACAAGUGUAGAAAACCAAAAAUAUGUAAUGUUACUAAUUGUAAUGUAAAACACCACAUUUUGUUACAUAGUUGGGUAAAACCCGAUAAUGGCCACACAGCAGUGCAGUCGUCGUGUAACUGUGCAGCAACAGAAGGUUCUACUGUAAAAAAUUGUCUGGGUAUUAUUCCUGUAAUAGUUAGGGGUGGGGACGGUAGUUCUUGUCAGACAUAUGCCCUGCUAGAUGAUGGAGCCGAUAAAACCUUAUGUGAUGAAAGAUUGUUACGGAGCCUGAAUAUAACCGGUAAGCCCGUCACAUUCCGGAUGUCUACGGCAAACUCACGUGAAGGUAUUAUACAUGGUCAGGAGGCCGACUUAGAUAUUCAACCUAUCGAUGGAAAUGAAAGUAUUACCCUAAGAAAAGUCUGGUCAGUAAAGUCAUUACCGAUAUCAACUCGAUCUGCAGCUAAAUAUGCAGAUAUCCGAAACUUACCGUACUUAUCCGGUAUAAAUAUUCCAGAUAUAGACACUAAUGACGUUAUGAUGUUAAUAGGGACGGAUUCACCUAUUGCACAUAUACCGCUAGAAGUGAAAUUCGGAAAUAGCGAUGAACCGUACGCGAUACGCACUCGUCUUGGAUGGGCUAUACGCGGUCCAGUUCCAACUACACAAGAAUCCAACGAUAUUAACAUAAAUUUCUUUGAGUCACGUGACAUGUUGUUACAGCAACAAAUUGAGCGUUUGUGGACAACUGACUUUAAUGAUAAAUCACAACAAGUGAAGAGUUGCAUGUCUAUAGAAGAUAAAAGUGCUAUGAAAUCCAUGGAAUCAACUUUAACUCGCGAGGAUGGUCAUUACAAGAUUGGUCUCUCUUGGCGUGAUAUAAAUUCGUCAUUCGUAAAUAAUAUACCGCUUGCCCAAGCCAGAUUACAGCAGUUGAAGCGCAAGUUGUCAAAUGACAAUAAUUUGCAUGAUAUGUACAGAACUACUGUAAAUGGUUACAUUGCGAAUGGCUAUUCAUCGGAUGUAGAUUACAUGGUACCAGAGAAAACGCGUGUUUGGUAUACGCCGCAUCAUCCAGUAACAAAUGUGCAUAACGCUUCUGAAACAGACAAAUUAAAUGUUUGGUUACAUGGACCAACAUUUCUUAGUAAAGGUAGGGAACACUGGCCUAAGUAUUCAGGUAAUUUUAUCCCGGAAGUGAGUGAAGAUGAUGUUGAAGUAAAGAGAUAUGGAUGUAUUUUUUCUUGUUUAACAUCAAGGGCCGUCCAUUUAGAAGUUACUCAUAGUUUGAGUACAGAUUCGUUUAUCGCCGCAUUGCAACGAUUUAUUAGCCGGAGAGGUCUACCGGAAAAGGUAUAUAGUGACAACGGAACCAAUCUAGUAAGUGGAGAUUGUGAAUUACGCAAGUCCUUACGAGAGUGGAAUCAAUCCGAAAUUGGACAAUUCAUGUUGCAGCGGGAAAUCGAAUGGAACUUUAACCCUCCGUCAGCUAGUCACAUGGGCGGUAUAUGGGAACGGAUGAUACGAUCGACACGUGCAAUUUUGAGAUCGUUAGUCAAAGAGCAGCUUCUGACAGAUGAACAACUUCUUACUGUUGUAACUGAGGUUGAAAAAAUACUUAAUGAUAGACCCAUUACCCGAGUAAGCGAUGACCCAAAAGACCCCCCAGUUUUAACUCCAAGCAUGAUUUUAUUACUAAAGUCCAAUACAUGUAUUCCACGUGGCAUUUUUAGAAAAGAAGAUACAUAUGCAAAGAGAAGGUGGAGACAGGCUCAGUAUCUUGCUGAUAUAUUCUGGAAACGAUGGAUUCGGGAAUAUAUACCUACCCUACAAUCUCGACAAAAAUGGCUGAGACCACAAAGAGAUAUCCGUGAGGGCGAUAUUGUACUCGUGGCUCAGGAAAACAUACCAAGGGGGCAGUGGCCGUUGGGCAGGGUUGUAUCUAUAAAUGUGGGUCGGGACGGGCAUACACGAAGCUGUGUGGUCAAAACUAGUAUGUCACAAUUCAUAAGACCAAUAACUAAACUUUGCCUACUAGAAUGUUCUAUUUAAAUCGUAAAGGUAUACAUUACAAUAAGCUAUUGUUUGUAUAAGAUGAAAUCGUAACGUUUCAUGGUGGGGAGUGUAAGAAUUAUAGUUCUUAAUUGUAAAUUUAUUUAUUAUAAUCACAUAAUUUUCAUAGUUUGAUUUUUUCGAUAGUAUUAAAAACAUUGUUUGACUCUUUCAAUUUAAGAUAGCUUCACUAUUUCCGCCAAACCUAACGUCUUAUUUUGUUUCCCGUAAAAAGACGUCAUUAAAUUGUUUUACGGUGACGUCAUUAACCGUUACUUUGAUAUGUUGUUUUGCCUUGGGCGGAAGUGCUUAAAUUGUUGAUGUGUUUUGUUUAUUGAUGUUUUCCAAUGGAAAGUAGAUCAUAAUCGAGAAUCGCAUUGUUGUAUCACAUUGAUAUAUUAUUCCAUGAAUGAGAAUAAAGAAAAGUGUUGAAAUCUGCGCAUUCUUGACUAUUUUUAACGGAAAACAUCUACAAUAUCAUUGAAAGAAUUGGACAGUAUCAUUUAAAGGAUUGGCCAGUAUCAUUUUUAAAGAUUUGACUUUAUCAUUUUAAGGUUCCACACAACCAUUUUUAGGUUAGGACAGUAUCAUUGUAAGGUUCAACUAUAUCAUUUCAAGGUCUAACUAUGUCACUUUUAAGGUUUGACUUUAUCAGUUUUAGGAUUGGACAGUAUCAUUUUAAGGUUUGAAUAUAUAAUUUGAAGGGAGAGUAUCAUUUUAAUGUUCGACUAUAACAUUUUAAGGAUUUGCCAGUGUCAUUUAAAGGUUUGAGUUUAUCAUUUUAAAGAUCGGAAAGUAUCAUUUGAAGGUAAGACUAUAUCAGUAUCUUUUCAGGUUCUACUACAUCAUUUUAAGGGUCAACUAUAUCAUGUUAAUGGUAUGACAGUAUUAUCUUAAGGUUCUAUUAUAUCAAUUUAAGGUUUGACUACCGUAAAAUUCCUAUUAAACGCCCCCCGGGGCGUAACAUUUUCCAAAGUGGGGCGUUUAUUAAAACACAUUUUUUCCUAAAUCCAAAAAAUCGUAAAAUCAAGCUAUGCCAGAUUAAUUCAUGUAAACAGCAUCAGUUUAUGGCCUACGUGACCUCAGUCAUGUUUAUCUGUCUCACAGGUGGCUCGGUGACGUAAUCGAACGAUAAAUGUGUAGACAAUGUAUAUUUAACAAUACACAUAACACUGAUUAAAUUUAACUGCUUAAUCAUGGAGCAAAAGCAACCAACACAUCGAUUUUAUAGCGCUUCUUUUAAGUUAAAAGUUGUUGGUAUUGCCGAGCAAGUUGGUAAACACAAGGCAAGCAAAUUAUUUAAUGUUGACAGGAAACGCAUUCGAGAGUGGUGUAAGGCAAAAGAAACGUUGCAAGCAGCUGCCUGCAAGAGUCGUAAACGUGCACCUGGCGGGGGUAGACAAGUUUGAUACAGAGACAUUGACCAGCAGCUGUUGCUGUGGUUUAAUGAACGUCGGGGGAAAGGAGUGCGUGUUACUGGGAAGGCCCUAAGACAUGAAGCACUUAGAUUACACCAAUAGAACGGGUCACAGUCAUUUAAGGCAUCCUGCGGUUGGUUUAGGUGCUUUAAACGAUGUCAUAACUUUUCAUUUCGUCGCACUACCCACAUUGCCCAGAAAUCAGUUGAAAUUACUGAUGGACUUAUUGACAAAUUUCUACGUUUUGUUAUUCGUAUGCGCCAGUUAAGAAAUUAUAACUUGUCAGAAAUAGGCAAUAUGGAUGAAACGCCUGUUUAUCUUGAAAUGCAAAGCAACGUAUGACAUUCGUGGACAGAAUAAUAUAACUGUAAAAUCUACAGGACGUGAAAAAGAGAAAAUCACCGUCACUUUAGGCGCCUAUGCAGAUGGGACAAAACUUUCGCCACUGGUCCAUUUGCCUGGAGUACGACCUUUACCUAGUGGUGACAUUCCAUGUGGAAUUAUCGUGUACAUGUGCGGCAGCGGUAAAAAAUCUUGGGCAAAUGAAGAGAGCAUUUUAUUUUGGUUGAAAAAUUUCUGGGGCAGAAAUCAAACAAGCCGGCGCUUACUUGUUUGGGACGCAUUUUGCGCUCAUUUGACUGAUAAGGUCAAGGAUUAUUUACGUACACACUGCAACACUGACAUGAGUGUAAUACCAGGAGGCUGCACGUCACGUUUACAGCCGGCAGACGUUUCAUGGAACAAACCAUUUAAGGGAAAGUUUGCUGAAUUAUAUGACGAGUGGCUGUUUUCUGGGCCUGUGGACUUAAAUCCUGCCGGGAAUCGAAGGGCACCCCCAAGUCUCUGAUUCUCAAGUGGAUUAAAACUGCCUGGGAUACUGUUACCCCUGAAAUGAUUAGGAAAUCAUUUAAAAAGUGCGGGAUUUCUACAGAGUUGGAUGGAACUGAAGAUCAUCUCUUUAAUCACGCUUCUGAUGACGAAACUGUUGAAUCGGACUUUGAAGGGUUCGAUCCCGAUGAUGUGAACAUAAGUGAGCAGGUGCAGGAAAAUGUGGCUGCAGAACUGUCUGAAUCUGAUCAAAACAGUGAUUCAGAUGA
This is an RNA transcript of Ruditapes philippinarum (Manila clam), 6082 nucleotides long. RefSeq lists it as uncharacterized. The record is from RefSeq and is a predicted model, not a curated record. Lineage: Eukaryota; Metazoa; Mollusca; Bivalvia; Venerida; Veneridae. The transcript is spliced from 4 exons.